Long non-coding RNA from Gossypium arboreum, 1437 nucleotides. RefSeq lists it as uncharacterized. The record is from RefSeq and is a predicted model, not a curated record. The transcript has 2 exons. NCBI's taxonomy places the organism in Eukaryota, Viridiplantae, Streptophyta, Magnoliopsida, Malvales, Malvaceae.
AUCAAAAUCUGCCAUUACUUUCAUCACAGCGUCAUCCUUGUCGAAGUCUAUCUCUUCAAAUCUGAUUCCUAUAAUCAAUGCUUUCAAUUCGGAAGGUGAAAGACGACCGUCACCGUUCUCAUCGAUUGUCUCGAACAACCUGUCCAAUGUUGUUUAGAAAGUUUGUAAAUGUUAAGAGUAACCGGAAGGAAGUACCAGGAGAAAUUGGAAGCUUUUGCUUUAAUGUUAAAGGUUCAAAACUAACUUUCUUAUGAUCUCUGUAUUAGGUUCACCAUCCUCGGUAAGAAGCUUUCCAAAAGCUUGCUUUUUCAAGUGUCUUAAGAUUCCCGAUAUAACAUGUUUGUGCUUCACAAAAGCUAGUCUUCUUCUCUGGAUCCAUGGCUGAAAUACCUGCAAAUUACAUAUAUCAUAAGAUACAACUACUAGAAGAGUAGAAGUGUCAUGAAGGUGUCUUCCUGAAGUUGAAUUGAGAACUUGGGGUAGUUGAACAAUAACAAAGGGGAUAACUGAUAUAGCCAUUAUACUUGCAGCAUAGCAAGUCCAAAUAUCGGUACUCACACCAGUCUCUGCAAUAUUGUACACAAUUUAGAUUAGCAAAUAUUUUGCCAUUGAAGAUUAGAGUCGCGCCUAGUUUUCCAGCCCACUUUCUGAAGUUAUUUUGACUGUGUUACUUUGAUUUUUCAUUUUUUCUUGAACUACUUGUAUUUGACACAUAUAAAGACAUGUUUAUAGGGAUAUGGCAUACUCAUAUUUGACAUUUACUCGUACCUAACACUUGCACUCAAGUCAGUUAUAUAGAACUCAGUCAAACAGACUUGGUAACUGUAUAAUGCUUGCUAUAACAAUCUAUGUUGCUUCAACUCAUUUUUUCUCUAAAGUACUCAUGUCUGCCACUUGUAUUUGACAUAUUCAAAUAUGGGUAUAGUAGUAGGAUUCCCUAAAGUACUCCCGAGUCCAAGUAUAGAAAAUAAUAACUUCGCAACCAGUCAUAGUAAACUAUCUAAGAAUGAUGUAAAGCAGAGUUGUGCACCUGUUAGGUGAAAUCCUUUUGUAAUAGUUCCAUCAACCGCAACUGAGUCACGAAUAUCACAGCGGCCAACAACAACACAGGAACCCCAUAUCACAGUGAGAAGCAUGACAGUUGACCCUGCUAGCAACCCCAUUCCUACUGAGACCUGAUCUUGAGCUGUUUCUGCUGUUCCAGAAAGUCCAGAUACUGGCAAGAACAAAGCAAAUUAAAACCGCACUAGAUGUAAAACUACUAAGUGAGGCCAAAUGAUGGCCUGAUAAUCAUUUAAAACUAAUUGCUUCUAUGAAUCAAUUACUAGUAAUAUAAGCAACAUGCUUUAGACCUCAUUGAGUUUUUAUCUCUUAAUUUCAUUUUUUUUCAUUUAUGUAACUGUUUUUAUAUAGAAAUUAGUAGUGUGAUUGUUAAUA